UGAGUCAGUAAGGCAGGUUGAAAGUGA
RNAcentral lists this non-coding RNA (27 nucleotides) under Mus musculus (house mouse). The record is from RNAcentral. Lineage: Eukaryota; Metazoa; Chordata; Mammalia; Rodentia; Muridae.